This 398-nucleotide ribosomal RNA is filed under the name Pristimantis gutturalis group sp. ABGD cluster 142. RNAcentral's name for it is "partial large subunit ribosomal RNA". It matches the Rfam family "Bacterial large subunit ribosomal RNA", at positions 1814 to 2436 of the family's 2925-position model. Lineage: Eukaryota; Metazoa; Chordata; Amphibia; Anura; Strabomantidae. The record is from RNAcentral.
CAUCGCCUUUUGCAUCCAUAAGAGGUCCAGCCUGCCCAGUGACCCAGUUUAACGGCCGCGGUAUCCUAACCGUGCGAAGGUAGCGUAAUCACUUGUUUUCUAAAUAAAGACUAGUAUGAAAGGCACCACGAGAACUAAACUGUCUCCCUUUUCUAAUCAGUGAACCUAAUCUCCCCGUGAAGAAGCGGGGAUUUUUUAAUAAGACGAGAAGACCCUAUGGAGCUUAAAAUAUCAUAACACCUGACACCCUUCCCCCCCCCCCCAAGAUGAUUAUGUAUUUUUGGUUGGGGUGACCGCGGAGAAAAACCCAUCCUCCGCGAUAAAAGAGCCCCUCUCCCCAACAAGCUACAGCUUUAUGUAUUAGAAAACUAACCCUAUUGACCCAAUAUAUGAUACGC